This is an RNA transcript of Psammomys obesus (fat sand rat), 1812 nucleotides long. It is a transcript of the gene named ubiquitin D, with no coding region annotated. The transcript is spliced from 4 exons. The record is from RefSeq and is a predicted model, not a curated record. Lineage: Eukaryota; Metazoa; Chordata; Mammalia; Rodentia; Muridae.
UCUCUUUUUUGAGAUUCUAACAUAAAUUACAUCAUUUCUCUCUUCCCUUUCUUCUUUUCAAACCCUCCCAUAUACCUCUCCUUGAUUUCUUUCAGCUUCACGGCCUCUUUUGUCAUUAAUUCUUGUUAGAUGCAUACAUAUUCCUAAAUAUAGCCUUCUUAGUCUACAGACAAGUAAUUGUAUAAUGAUACAUGUGUGUAAGUUUUUGAGGCUGAUCAUUUGUUAUUUUAUAACUAAUUGGUUUGCUCUUCCCUGAGGAAGACUGUUUCUCCUACUCCCAGAAUUGCUUGUAAUUCUUUACGUAGGGUUGAGGUCUCUGUCUACUUUGACAUGUUUAUUGAUAUCCUUGUUCAGGUCGUGUUUAGACAGUCAUGCUGAUGAAAUUUUAUGAGACUAGCUUCUACAUUACUAGGAGACACAGUCUCAAAGCAAACUUUCUGAUCCUCUGGCUCUUACAACUUUUCUGGCAGUUCUUCUGCAACGUUCCCUUAGCCUUAGGUACGGAAGCAUUUUGUAGGUAUAUCCAUUGGGCUCAUUUGAUUGGUUGUGGUUUUCUGUAAUUGUCAUAUCUGUGGCAAAAGGAAGUUUCCCUGAUGAGGCGUGAGGACUGCACUUAUCUGUGGGUAUAAGACAAAUAUUUAGAAUGUAGUUAGGACUAUUCUGGUUUAGUAAAGCAGUGAUUGUAGGCUCUCCUCCAAGAUCCAUGAUGUCAUUAGCCUUGGGCUGUUGAGUAGGUUACCAGUACGAGGCAUGAUUUUACUCUUGUUGCAUGGGCCUUAGGUCCAACUGGAGCGCUGUUGGCUACUGCCAAGGUGUACUGUGGGGCUGCCUGCAGGUUCCACUUCUGGUAGAGAAAAACUACAAGAGGCAAGAAGAAAAUCCGGUUCAGCACGGCUUAAUUAGCAUGGCUGGUUCAAACUUCUGCCACCGAACAGUUUAUUUUGAAUAUUUAAACACAGCACAACUUUGGGAAAACGUUUUCUCAUGACGGCUAUCACAAUGAAGCUUAGGAAAUGACUACACUGAAACUCCCUUGCAAAACACGUAUCUUUUGCAAAGUAUCUGUGACCUCUUCCACAAUGGGUUCUAUUUUCUGAGAAGCAAUGUUCAGGAUAAGGGUCUAAGGAGGUUAUAAUGCAAUGCUAGUGUUGUGAUUCAUAGUCAUAAUAGCUGGGUAGGAUGGUUGGUUGCUUCCUUCAUUUUGAAGCUAGCAUGCGCUUAGUUAUCUUUUUAAAUAUAUGUGUGUGUGUGUAUAUCUGUAUGUAGGCAUGUGCAUGUGAAUACAAGUGCCCAGAGAGACAAGAAGAGGGCUUUGGAUCCCUGGAGCUGAAGUUACAGCUGGUUGUGAGCCACCCAAUAUGGUCCUCUGCAAGAGCGGUACACAUUCUUAAUUGCUGGACCAUCUCUCCUUACAGUUAUUUUUAAUUUUUUAAAGACAAGGUCUCUUUGUAUACCUUGGCUGGCCUGUAACUUAACAUGUAAACAGAUGGCCUUGAAGUCACAGAGAUUCACUUGCCUCUACCUCUGGAACACUGGAAUUAAAGGCAGGAGACCAGACCUACAGACUGUGCAUGAUAACAAGCUUGGAAGUGCUGAAGAUACAAGAACACAAUCCUGGUGCUUACUGGGAUGACAGACAAGCAGAUGAUUCUAUUACUAGCAAAAUAGCAAUAGACAAAGUUCAAAAGAUUUUCAGAGGAAAUACGGGAGGAUAAGCCAGAACUGGAAGGAAAAGGUUGUCCAUUCAGAGCAAUGGCCAUUGAUGACCUUUGACACCAGUGAGAAUGACAAAGUGAAGAAGAUAAAUGAGCA